CCGAGUGAGGGCCUCCGGGCCCGACCUCCAACCCUUUGUGAACACACCCGUUGCUUCGGGGGCGACCCUGCCGUUUCGACGGCGAGCGCCCCCGGAGGUCUUCCAACACUGCAUCUUUGCGUCGGAGUUUAAGGAGAUGAAACA
RNAcentral lists this unclassified non-coding RNA (144 nucleotides) under soil metagenome. Its description in RNAcentral is "partial internal transcribed spacer 1". The record is from RNAcentral.